UGAUAUUACUAGGUGAACGACAAGGUAAUCAUCAAAAGUGGAUGGUCAGCAUUGAAUCCUUAAUCGUUUGUGAAGGGUCCAACCUCGCCACAUUUCUAACAGGGAUUGUGACAUGUUUCUCCACCUUCUAUAUUCUGAAUCUGCAAUAUCAGGAGGAGGCAGCGUGCACCCUUGAAUUCUUCCAGAGAAAAAGGCCCACAAUUGAUAAUUGAUAAAUAUCUGUGAUGAUUAUUCUGUAUCUGAUUUUGAAAUAGUACUACUUUAGAUAACAUGUCUACAUUUUACAUACAUAUGUGAUACACAAGCCUAAUGCGAUGUUUUUAUUUUCCAUGAUAAUUCUUUUGUACCUU
Molecule: long non-coding RNA, 350 nt
Organism: Alosa alosa (allis shad)
Lineage: Eukaryota; Metazoa; Chordata; Actinopteri; Clupeiformes; Clupeidae
Exons: 3
Source: RefSeq, a predicted model, not a curated record